GAUGAACGCUGGCGGCGUGCUUAACACAUGCAAGUCGAACGAAGAUGCCGGAGUGCUUGCACUUUGGCAGACUGAGUGGCGGACGGGUGAGUAACGCGUGGGUAACCUGCCUUAUACAGGGGGAUAACAGUUGGAAACGACUGCUAAUACCGCAUAAGCGCACGGUAUCGCAUGAUACAGUGUGAAAAAACUCCGGUGGUAUAAGAUGGACCCGCGUCUGAUUAGCUUGUUGGUGAGGUAACGGCCCACCAAGGCGACGAUCAGUAGCCGGCCUGAGAGGGUGAACGGCCACACUGGGACUGAGACACGGCCCAGACUCCUACGGGAGGCAGCAGUGGGGAAUAUUGCACAAAUGGAGGAAACCCUGAUGCAGCGACGCCGCGUGGAGAAGAAGUAGUUCGCUAUGUAAAAGCUCUAUCAGCAGGAAGAUAGUGACGGUACCUGACUAAGAAGACCCCGGCUAACUAACGUGCCAGCAGCCGACGG
RNAcentral lists this ribosomal RNA (486 nucleotides) under uncultured bacterium. Its description in RNAcentral is "bacterial SSU rRNA". It matches the Rfam family "Bacterial small subunit ribosomal RNA", at positions 28 to 520 of the family's 1533-position model. The record is from RNAcentral.